This 253-nucleotide ribosomal RNA is filed under the name uncultured bacterium. Its description in RNAcentral is "partial 16S ribosomal RNA". It matches the Rfam family "Bacterial small subunit ribosomal RNA", at positions 524 to 776 of the family's 1533-position model. The record is from RNAcentral.
UACAGAGGGGGCAAGCGUUAUUCGGAAUUAUUGGGCGUAAAGGGCGCGUAGGCGGCCUGGCAAGUGGAAGGUGAAAUCCCUCGGCUUAACCGAGGAACUGCCUCCCAAACUGCUUGGCUUGAGACCAGGAGAGGUGAGUGGAAUUCCCAGUGUAGCGGUGAAAUGCGUAGAUAUUGGGAGGAACACCAGUGGCGAAGGCGAGUCCCUGGACAACUCCUGACACUGAGGCACGAAAGCUAGGGGAGCAAACAGG